UGGUUCAGCGGUAGAAUUCUUACCUUCCAUGUAGGAGACCUGGGUUCAAGUCCUGG
Molecule: transfer RNA, 56 nt
Filed under: Loxodonta africana (African savanna elephant)
Lineage: Eukaryota; Metazoa; Chordata; Mammalia; Proboscidea; Elephantidae
Rfam family: tRNA
About the family: Transfer RNA (tRNA) molecules are approximately 80 nucleotides in length. Their secondary structure includes four short double-helical elements and three loops (D, anti-codon, and T loops).
Source: Rfam by way of RNAcentral